GACACAAUGACUGGAAACUGGC
RNAcentral lists this unclassified non-coding RNA (22 nucleotides) under Mus musculus (house mouse). RNAcentral describes it as "oocyte_clustered_small_RNA9319". Lineage: Eukaryota; Metazoa; Chordata; Mammalia; Rodentia; Muridae. The record is from RNAcentral.